CCCUGAUGUACUCUGGAGUUGAAGUGUGUAGCAUUUGGAGCUCAAGGGUAGCACAUUUUCUCAGAAAUGAACAAGGAGUUGGAGGCUAAUUUAAAACAUCUUACAACUCCCAUCACCUUGACUGUUCCAGCUGGGAAGUGAAUCGAAGAGUGAGUCUGUGAUGAAAUAAACUCACCAGAGUAACAUGAAUGCCAACUUAUUAACAAACCUCUCUUAGAAAGGAAUGGAGCUAUGCUGGCCCAGCAAGAGGUGAGAGAGUUUUGCCUUCUUCAGCCUCAAUCUAUAGGAGACGGUCACCUAUGCGUUUAUGAGCUAUU
Molecule: long non-coding RNA, 317 nt
Filed under: Homo sapiens (human)
Lineage: Eukaryota; Metazoa; Chordata; Mammalia; Primates; Hominidae
Description: HSALNT0142374
Source: RNAcentral